CACUUGAUUAUUGAUUGCAAGGUAAUUAAUUGUUAAUUUGGAUAAUUUUAAGUCCGUAAUUGCUUGAAUUGUUCAAACAUAAGAACACUUGGUGUAACAACUAAGGAAUUGUAUGAUCUAGCAACAUCUCAUGCGUUUGAGUAGUUAGGAUUGGAUCUCUCUCUUUCUUCAUGCAAUUAAUAAUUGUUUGAUGCCUAAGGCCCAAGGACGUUUCUUGGCAAUUUGUUAAUUAGUAAUUAAUUAGAGGACGUUCCCU
This 256-nucleotide long non-coding RNA is filed under the name Manihot esculenta (cassava). RNAcentral's name for it is "long non-coding RNA (MESC_LNC002187)". Lineage: Eukaryota; Viridiplantae; Streptophyta; Magnoliopsida; Malpighiales; Euphorbiaceae. The record is from RNAcentral.